AAACAAGUCUUAAUUUUGAAAUCUAUGCAGAAUCUUCUGCUGCUGGAGGCUUUUAUGUAUUAACCUUAACAGAAGGCUGAAGGGUUGAAAUGAAAUCCUUGGCAAAGGUACAAGAUUCAGAGCGUUGCAUAUCUUGCAGUUCAGGUUUGGCUUGUCUGCUUUUCAGCUCUUCUAGACAUUGGAAAUUCCAGUUUGUGUUUAUUUUCUCUGGAUUCCUUCCCACAAGACAGAAGUGAAUUCAGCAUGGAUUAUUGGGGAGAGCCUUGGCUGGGAAUAAGGAUAAUUGCAGCCUCUGGCUGUGCCACAGUUUCACUGAUGAUUUCUUUUAAGUUACUCACCUGCACUGUAUCUGUUUCCUCAGCUGUAAAAUGUGGGUAAUUACCUCCAUUGUAAAAUGUUACAGGGUCUGCUGGUAAUUAUAUGAACGAAGUGCUAAUUACAGUGAUUAUCCCUUGGACCUAGUCUAGAUCUGGCUGAUGUUCCUGUUGUGAUGAACGUAUGAAACAAAUACUACAACUUGCUUUUCUCCAUUAUUUGCGAGGGGCCUGGAAGGUGCCGCAUCACAGGAUGUGUUCCCGGUGAGAAGCUCUGCUGCCCUGUCACCCAGGUCCCUUUGUUCAUUUCUUGUUCCCCUCUGCCCUCGUGUCUUACGGGCGUGGGCUGAGGAGGGGCUGAGGAAUUACUGAUUCAGUAGCUGGAUCCACAUAUGAUCUGAUAGCCAGGGUUUAUGCUGUGGCUUCACUUUUCCUCUUGGGGAUAUGAAGGCAGCAGCCAGGGAGGUACCAGUUGAGUUGGGCCAGUCUGUGCUGCCUAGUGGCCUCCAUUCUUUAAGAAGUUCUGACCUUGAUGCCAGGAGAGGUGUCCUUCCAGCUGUGGGGAUUAUUUCCCUCCUGUAAAAGCCUACAGCUUGCAAGACUUUAUUAUCAAACAUUUUAUUUGCCUUUCUCUUCUCCGUUUAUUUAGGACACAUUUUCUUUGUAGCUGGGAAUAGCUCUACUAUCCCCUGAGCARGGCUGGGUAGUGGAGGAAGAAUUUAUAUUCUUCAAGGUAGAAAUGGAGUGUUCUCAUCCAGAAAAUCCUGCUGCUGCCUCUGGGAAGGKGCUGUAGUUUUUGAUGGUAGUAAUAAGUCACGUCGUGUAUCCAGUAAUGAUGAGAGUCUCCUCUCCUACCCAAUCCYUGCCUUCCCUGGACACAGACCUCAUGGCACAGUAACAACAAAAAUCCCGUGCUUGGUUCCUCUUGCUGCAGCUCUGCCUGCUCUCUUCUGCCACAUCUGAUUCCCCACCUCUGGGUUUGYAGAGGGAUUUUCUGCCUGCUUUGCCUCCAGCCUCUCUACACCUGCUUCCCAUCAGCCUCAGCCUUUCUUUGCCCUGGAAGAGYAAGGUUCAGUUAUGUCUUCAGAAUUCAGUAGCUGAGCAGCUCUUCCUUUCUCAGAGUUUGACGAGUGCAAUGAAUUUUUAACUUUCAAGAGAAGGUUUUAGUUCCUGUCUGGGAUGAUGGUUUGGAAAGGCUUUCUGGCAAUGGAAAGGCAGUCUUUAAUUGCAAUUUUGCACCUGAAUUUUUCAGGCUAGAUGCUCUUCUCUGACGGCUUCUGUCUGAUUGAUUCUACGGCCUGUUCUUUUCCAUGACAGGAUGCUUGAGUGCUCCAGGGAUGGAAGCAACUUGCCACUCCUGAUAGGUGAAAGUGGUCAUUGCCAGGCARUGAGGGUAUGGAAAGAACUUCUCUUGUUCGGUGGAGGAAAAAGAUGAGGGAUUAUCAUCUCUCCCAUGAUUUGCUUUUGCCUUGGUUAGAGCAUCUAAACUAGAGGGGUGUGUCUGCAGCGWGUGUGUGCUUCACCUAAUGCUCAUCUGCCAGACUUGUUUGAAAAUCCUUUGUUAGGAAAGCAAAAAAUUUGGCUUGUUCCUGCAGAAGCAUCAUCUAAUAAGAUUAAUUUAUUUGGUGUGAGAGGCUUCAAUAGUGAAUUAUGCUUUAUCCAUGUUGUUAUUGCCCAUUGCACAAGUGAACUGAUUUGUGUGCUCUCUGCAAGUCACAUGCUGAAUGAAGGAUGUUAGAUUACUGUGUAACCUGGAGGGUAAUCAGGGAUUCAGAUUUGAGAUUUAUCCAAGUCUAAUUUUGCAGCAUUCUUGAAAUAUCUGGGAUUUCUGUAUCUUGGUACCACUCUGAAUGCUGUACAUUAAGAGUGAUAUAUAUUUUUUAAACUUAAAAGUUCAGUAACAUAAUAAUUAUAAACUUUCUCGAGUUUUCUUUCUCUUAAAAAUGAGUGUAUUGUUUGCUUUUCAUUGAGGUGCAAAGUGUUGCGUAAAAUCUCUGCAACUUGUGACAG
Molecule: long non-coding RNA, 2324 nt
Filed under: Zosterops lateralis melanops
Lineage: Eukaryota; Metazoa; Chordata; Aves; Passeriformes; Zosteropidae
Description: lncRNA (ENSZLMG00000002841.1)
Source: RNAcentral